CAUGCAAGUCAGGGGCAGCACAAGAGCAAUCUGAGGUGGCGACCGGCGCACGGGUGAGUAACACGUAUGCAACCUGCCUGUAAGCGGGGAAUAACCCGUUGAAAGACGGACUAAUACCGCAUAAUACUAAAUUACUGCAUGGUAAUUUAUUUAAACAUUUAUGGCUUACAGAUGGGCAUGCGCAUGAUUAGCUAGUUGGAGAGGUAACGGCUCCCCAAGGCAACGAUCAUUAGGGGUUCUGAGAGGAAGGUCCCCCACACUGGUACUGAGACACGGACCAGACUCCUACGGGAGGCAGCAGUGAGGAAUAUUGGUCAAUGGACGAGAGUCUGAACCAGCCAAGUCGCGUGCAGGAAGAAUGUCCCUAUGGAUUGUAAACUGCUUUUGCAGGGGAAUAAAGUGCAUCACGUGUGAUGUUUUGUAUGUACUCUGCGAAUAAGGAUCGGCUAACUCCGUGCCAGCAGCCGC
Molecule: ribosomal RNA, 468 nt
Filed under: uncultured bacterium
Lineage: Bacteria
Description: bacterial SSU rRNA
Rfam family: Bacterial small subunit ribosomal RNA
Source: RNAcentral